CAAUGGAAAAGGAAGCUGUGGGUGGAGACACAUCUGACGGGAGGGAUUUGGAUCCUGCCAGCUCGUCCCUGCAACCCCCUACUCCGGUCCCCUCAAACCUGUCCGUGGCUGGCAGCCCUGUGAUACCUCGCCACAUUCUGCAACAGAAUCCGAGAUAGAGGUAGAAGUGGGGGAGUACGUCGUGGCUGUCAGGGCAGCUUUCUGUAAAAUGCUGCCUGGAGGAGCAUGUGAUUCCAGACCCUCCUCUCUGCAACGAAAGUGAGGUUGACACCUGCAGGCCUGGGGCCUCCUGGCCCACUGAGCAGAACACACAGAAGCUGGGCCCACCCCUGCCCUCCCCACAAAGGGUCACGGGAGCCACCGCCUGACUUUGAAGCCCACUGACUUGCGGCUGACAAGAGAAAAGAAUGUGCCCCUGUGAUCAUGUGAAAGCAUCAGCCAGGGGUCCAAGAACUUCCCUCUGGAGCCUCACACUCCCAGCGUGGCACCCAGCAGGGAACAGAUUCUCUCCAAACCUUUGUGAAUGAAUGAAGGAUGACGUCACUAGAAUCCAUCCCUGUUUUAUUUUUUAUUUUUAUUUUUUGAGACAGAGUCUCGCUCUGUUGUUGCCCAGGCU
RNAcentral lists this long non-coding RNA (616 nucleotides) under Homo sapiens (human). RNAcentral's name for it is "long independently transcribed non-coding RNA 2975 (LINC02975)". Lineage: Eukaryota; Metazoa; Chordata; Mammalia; Primates; Hominidae. The record is from RNAcentral.